Molecule: ribosomal RNA, 207 nt
Filed under: Escherichia coli
Lineage: Bacteria; Pseudomonadati; Pseudomonadota; Gammaproteobacteria; Enterobacterales; Enterobacteriaceae
Description: partial 16S ribosomal RNA
Rfam family: Bacterial small subunit ribosomal RNA
Source: RNAcentral
GCAGCCGCGGUAAUACGUAGGGUGCAAGCGUUAAUCGGAAUUACUGGGCGUAAAGCGUGCGCAGGUGGUUAUUUAAGUCUGAUGUGAAAUCCCCGGGCUCAACCUGGGAACUGCAUUCAAAACUGAAUGACUAGAGUAUGGUAGAGGGUGGUAGAAUUCCCUGUGUAGCGGUGAAAUGCGUAGAUAUAGGAAGGAACACCAGUGGCG